AUUGAACGCUGGCGGAAUGCUUUACACAUGCAAGUCGAACGGUAGAGGGGGCAACCCCUCGAGAGUGGCGAACGGGUGAGUAAUAUAUCGGAACGUGCCCAGUCGUGGGGGAUAACGUAGCGAAAGUUACGCUAAUACCGCAUACGAUCUACGGAUGAAAGCGGGGGAUCGCAAGACCUCGCGCGAUUGGAGCGGCCGAUAUCAGAUUAGGUAGUUGGUGGGGUAAAGGCUCACCAAGCCAACGAUCUGUAGCUGGUCUGAGAGGACGACCAGCCACACUGGAGCUGAGACACGGUCCAGACUCCUACGGGAGGCAGCAGUGGGGAAUUUUGGACAAUGGACGCAAGUCUGAUCCAGCCAUUCCGCGUGCAGGAUGAAGGCCCUCGGGUUGUAAACUGCUUUUGUACGGAACGAAAAGGUUUCCAUUAAUACAGUUUGCUAAUGACGGUACCGUAAGAAUAAGCACCGGCUAACUACGUGCCAGCCGCCGCCGUAA
RNAcentral lists this ribosomal RNA (496 nucleotides) under uncultured bacterium. RNAcentral describes it as "partial 16S ribosomal RNA". It matches the Rfam family "Bacterial small subunit ribosomal RNA", at positions 30 to 523 of the family's 1533-position model. The record is from RNAcentral.